CUUCAGCGAGCCCAGCCAGAGCGGCCGGUCCUCGGGGUGGUCCUUGCCGUAGGUGGCGAUGAGGGCCUGGGCCUC
This 75-nucleotide antisense RNA is filed under the name Streptomyces alboflavus. Its description in RNAcentral is "ASpks TB sRNA". It matches the Rfam family "ASpks TB sRNA". The record is from Rfam by way of RNAcentral. Lineage: Bacteria; Bacillati; Actinomycetota; Actinomycetes; Kitasatosporales; Streptomycetaceae.